GUCUUGAACAAUGUUAACUGUCGAUUCUAUGCGACAUAGAUAUUGUUCUUCUCAUGUUUACUCCUCGCGGAAAGCUGACCAUCUUUUUUGCAGAACAUUGGUAGUUUCUUCUUCCGAAAUCUUUUUUCGAAUGCUUAGAGUGGUAACUCUGAUCUUGACUAGUUAUAGGGAAACAAAUUUCAGUGUUGUAGUUUUAGAUUUUUCAUUUCUACCAAUCAUCUAUCCAGACUUCACUAGUUUUCGAGGUUUCCUUUCAUUUUGAUUAUUUUGAUUUUUCACAACCUAUAUAUUUGUAUGUGUAAUAAGCACUUAUAUUCUAGAAAUUUGCAGUGUUCGACACCCAUGUCAGUCACACGUUGACACUCCAUUUUCUUCUUACAUCUAGCAGUAUUUAUAUGCUUUUUGUUUAGGUCAUGGUUUAGCUAUUAGAAUACAUCUUCUUGUUUCUUAUGCAUAUGGUGUUUGGAAUCAAGAGGGAAUAUAUAUUAAUAAAAACAUACUCUAAUUGACACCCAUUAUUAACUAACAUGGCAGAGAAGUUUCUUAACUUUUUUGUAAAAAGUGUAAUGAGGAAAUAUCAUGCUCUCCUCCACAAAAAAGACAAUAUACACAUGUACAUGGUGAUAAUGGUAGGUGUCUACGAGCUUGUGUUUUUAUUAGAAUAUAUGUUCUUGGUUCCAAACUGACCCUAAAUGAAGUAAUAUCUAAUAGAACAAGUUGCAAUGUCAUUAUAUGCCUGUACAGACAUGUCGGCAUGGUGGGUUUUCGAGGACCUUGUGUCCAUUUUCUUGUUUCCUUGCCUGAGAAAACACUGCUGUACAUGUCUGAAACAGGUAGAUUUAUCUGUGCUCAUGUUGCAUUGUUGCAACAUUCUUGUUUGGUUAUCUUGUCUGCCCCUCUUUAAAUCCUGGAUUGUUGAAAAUGUGUAAGAUCUGUUCUAAUGGAAUGCUUUACUCUUUUAGGUUUGUCUUCUUUCAGUGAUUUGAGUAAUCCUUGAAAGAUAUUCGGGGAUAAGUCCUUGAGAAUGAAGAAAAAAGGAAUGACAGAAUUCUGCAAGAUCGAGAUUGUGCUUUGUUAACUGUAAGGAGUAGAUGUGUUUUUUUUUUUU
Molecule: long non-coding RNA, 1108 nt
Organism: Magnolia sinica
Lineage: Eukaryota; Viridiplantae; Streptophyta; Magnoliopsida; Magnoliales; Magnoliaceae
Exons: 2
Source: RefSeq, a predicted model, not a curated record